GUAGUCCACGCCCUAAACGAUGUCAACUGGUUGUUGGUGGGGUUAAACCCAUUAGUAACGAAGCUAACGCGUGAAGUUGACCGCCUGGGGAGUACGGCCGCAAGGUUAAAACUCAAAGGAAUUGACGGGGACCCGCACAAGCGGGGGAUGAUGUGGAUUAAUUCGAUGCAACGCGAAGAACCUUACCUACCCUUGACAUGCCAGGAAGCCGGGUGAGAGCUCGGUGUGCCCGAAAGGGAGCCUGGACACAGGUGCUGCAUGGCUGUCGUCAGCUCGUGUCGUGAGAUGUUGGGUUAAGUCCCGCAACGAGCGCAACCCUUGUCAUUAGUUGCUACGGUAACGGGCACUCUAGUGAGACUGCCGGUGACAAACCGGA
Molecule: ribosomal RNA, 376 nt
Filed under: uncultured bacterium
Lineage: Bacteria
Description: bacterial SSU rRNA
Rfam family: Bacterial small subunit ribosomal RNA
Source: RNAcentral